UCAAUCUAUGUACAUUUUUAAUGAUAACAUGAGGCUUUAUACCAAUAGCCUGAUAAUUUUACAUGUGAAAUCUAUUGAAAACAUAGAAACUCAAGUUCCAGCUCCUAGAAGAUAUCGAUAUAUUUUUGUCUAUAGCAAUGUCCUCACAUUAUCACCAAAAUUUCUCACUGAAAAUUAAACAAACAAACAAACAAACAAAAAGAUUAACAAAACCACACCUCUGUAGUACUAAUUACUAUCAGUAAUUAGUGUUUAUGAGGUGCAGAGAGCAGUGAUGCAGCAAUACCUGCGGAGGAGAGCAGAUCUGAAUUCCUUUACAUGGCAGGGGCAGAGGACAGUAUACAGCAUACAGGGACAAUGAUCCAGGGGCUGUGGAGCACAGCACGAACACUUGGUGGAGUCACCUUGGGUCUGCACCAAACCAGCCAUGAACGUAGGGCACAAAGAACGUAGGACGUGUUCUACAGGGCCUCUACAACAGAGUUCAGUAUAAAUACCUCCUCCAUUAGGAGGAACUCAGUUUGCAACACCCGUAUAGACCACUCAAGACACGGGUUAGCUUAGUGUCUCGAAGCAAAGCACAACCGCCACCCACCCCACUGCCAGACCAGUGCCAGGCUCUGCACAGAUGCAUAGUCCACAACUCCAUAUGGAGAACAAGAACCUGAAGCUGAGAUUCAUUGAUCAAAGCUGGCUGAGUGGGUGGACUGAGCUUGUUCAGGGCUGGCAAACAGCCCGCACAGCUGCAGGCUCAUUCAGCACUCUUACUCCUCCCUGUUUGCUCCAGGCCCUGUGACCAUAAGGUUAGCCUUUUACACCUACAUGGGUGCUUUUUCCUUCACCACUGCUUCAGUUACUGUCCUACAUCCAACUUGUUUCCAAGAACUCCUCUGUAGAACCCAGAUUCCAAACUCAAGAGACAAAGGAGGCAAGUACAAAGCCAACAAAUAUGCCUGCAGGGAUCAGCCUGGAUCUGGCAGUACCAUUCUUAAAAGAGAGCUAGAAAACUGCUGACCUUUGAGGGACUCCUCUUGGAGACAUUUUGGUGGCUCUGUACAACCUCCCUCCCAACUCCAGAAUUGAGAGUGUUGUUUCAAACUUAAGGUUGGCUCUGCACAAGAAAGGUUCAGGAUCAAAGCUUAUUAGGUUAGCUCAAUUCUGUAUUGCUUUCUAACCAGUGUGAGGUGUUACAAUUAUACCCUAAGGUACAUACUGUAGGUAGGCUAUUCCCACUGCUUUGUUGAUUUUGUUGGAGCAGGAUACAGGAGUCCUUUUAACAUUAUGACUUUCAAUCAUGCAGACAAAGGUUUGGUAUGGGAGACACCCAAGCAGGGGAAAAAUACAGUAGUUAAACAUGACAGGCAAAUGAACAUACCCGACACCUGUAAAGAGAGAAACUGUGAUGAAUAGCGUGCUUAGUUCCUUUAGACAAUCAUGGUAAGCAAACAGAUUGUGUGUCUCUACCUGGCUACCUUUUUUUCCCCCCCAACAGUUAAAUUUCUGCUUCUCACUUAGAAAAGCUGUAAUUGUACCCAACACAGCUUUCACACUGUUACUCUAUUCAGAAAUUUAAUUAAGUUUUGAUUACUCUAACAUUUCAGUAUCUGUUUUGUAACAGUAUGAAGGACUAAACAAAACACUAAUCUAUUUUUACUAAUGUAUUUAAUUUUCGCUGCAUACUUUAAACAUGCAUAAAAUCAGCUGCUUAAAUCACAGGAUUACUCUUCCACAACAGGAAUACCAGCCUUCACUGGAAACAACUGAGACAUUCCUGGGGACAGUAAGUUGGCUCGGCUGGAAGAGCUGAAGAGGUGUACCAAUGGAAGCUACAAAACUGGGGCUGAAGAGGUCACAACCUUCCUCAGGGCUAUAGCGCAAACCAGAAAGAUGAAAAUCACAAUGCCAUCUCUUCCUCUCAGUCACCUUCCUCCAAUGCUUAUUUUGAAGGCUAAACAGAUCUGGGGGUCUCUUUGGAGGGCUAGGUCGAUGCUAGUCCUCACCCCAUGUCUUCUCUGAAAGAGCGAUUUCUGGUAGCCUUACACAGGCAUUGUGCAAUACUUGUGGAUUUUGAUUGACAAGACUGCUAUUCCAUCUCAUUUCUGCUGCUUGACUUGUACUACGGAAAUUCUUCAUGCCCUCUCUCUGCCUUCCUUAUUUUUAAAUACCUCUGGAGGAAGAAGGAUGAUGGCUGGGAAGCAGACAUGCUCCUGACCUUAAUGUCUGGACAGCACUUUGAAUAAGAGAGAAGUCAGUACUAAAUACAGUCAUCAUAAUGUGUCUAAGUGUCUGCUACUUAGACAAUAAAAUGAUUCUAACAUGACCACCUAAUCCUCUCUACAUCCACAUCGCCGUUCAGCAGUACUUCCUUUCUUCCAGCUAAUCAGCAUUUCAGCUAGCAAUUCUGAGGCUGUAGAAAGAAGAAAGCUUAAUUGGGUCUUGAACUAGAUGGAGAAACAGGCUACAAAAAAAUAAAAAUCACAAAAUACGAAGAACCAGAUAGCUCAUCCCAGAUAGCAUGAGUAGGCUAUGUAGCUCAGAAACAAGCAAAAUAUGUAAUCUGGGACCAAAAGAGAAAAAGUUAUAAUUAUCCAAUAGAAAGCAAAGGACUUGACUCAGUUCAGGAUGUAAGAUGAUAAACAUCACUUCAGAAACAAAACACACUGUCAUUCUGAGCUGUCUUGUGGCAGUUUUAACAUCUUGAAAAAGAGAUACUGUGUAUCUAUAGUCUUUCCUUUGAGGGAUGAUCUCUUCACCAUGGCCAAAUUAAAAAGUGUACUUUUAGUAUGUCUGUCGCACAAGCAGACAUACCUACGUCUUAGUUCUACCAAGAUAUAACCUUACCAGCUACCUAUUUUGUAUCUUUGCUAUCCAAGUGCCACUGCAGCUUUGUAUGGUUUCUCUUUAAAACAGAUGACACUGUUGAUGUGAUAGCUGCUUCAAAUACCUUUGAUCAUGGUUUCAGACACCACAGACAAAGGAAUUGCAUCAAGAUGCAUCUUGUCGAUUCAAAGUUCCAGUCAACUACUGCCCCUGCCAGAGUAUGCAACUGCAACUUAAUACUAACACAGAAAAAAUAAAAAUCAUCCCUAGGGAAGAAUUCAAGACCACUUGAGAUCGUUUUGGUACUGAAUGACCUCUAGCAUUUCAUCCUCUGAUAAAACAGGGGAAAACCAAGUACCCACAGAGGCAGAGCUCCCAGAACCCAUCCCCCUCUUCACAAAAGGAUUCAUUCCAUUAAAUGUAGAUGAAAUAUGCAUGACCAUUCACACAAAGGGGAAGGAAAAAACACAUGUCCACUGAAAUCUGUGAGAAGUGGUUCACACUGCCAUCUGCCCUUCUGAAAGAGAACUGAUGUGAAAGUAACCAGAAAUGUCUUCUGAAUACCAUUCUCA
This is a long non-coding RNA of Strigops habroptila (Kakapo), 3392 nucleotides long. NCBI's taxonomy places the organism in Eukaryota, Metazoa, Chordata, Aves, Psittaciformes, Psittacidae. The record is from Ensembl.